CCUACGGGAGGCAGCAGUGAGGAAUAUUGGUCAAUGGACGAGAGUCUGAACCAGCCAAGUAGCGUGAAGGAUGACUGCCCUAUGGGUUGUAAACUUCUUUUAUAUGGGAAUAAAAUGUUCGACGUGUGGGAUUUUGUAUGUACCAUAUGAAUAAGGAUCGGCUAACUCCGUGCCAGCAGCCGCGGUAAUACGGAGGAUCCGAGCGUUAUCCGGAUUUAUUGGGUUUAAAGGGAGCGUAGGGGGAUUGUUAAGUCAGUGGUAAAAGUUGCCGGCUCAACCGUAAAUUGCAGUUGAAACUGGCAUUCUUGAGUACAGUAGAGGUGGGCGGAAUUCGUGGUGUAGCGGUGAAAUGCUUAGAUAUCACGAAGAACUCCGAUUGCGAAGGCAGCUCACUGGACUGCAACUGACACUGAGGCUCGAAAGUGUGGGUAUCAAACAGGAUUAGAUACCCCGGUAGUC
RNAcentral lists this ribosomal RNA (459 nucleotides) under uncultured bacterium. RNAcentral's name for it is "partial 16S ribosomal RNA". It matches the Rfam family "Bacterial small subunit ribosomal RNA", at positions 338 to 795 of the family's 1533-position model. The record is from RNAcentral.